Molecule: ribosomal RNA, 460 nt
Filed under: uncultured bacterium
Lineage: Bacteria
Description: partial 16S ribosomal RNA
Rfam family: Bacterial small subunit ribosomal RNA
Source: RNAcentral
CCUACGGGAGGCAGCAGUGAGGAAUAUUGGUCAAUGGGCGGAAGCCUGAACCAGCCAAGUAGCGUGCAGGAUGACGGCCCUACGGGUUGUAAACUGCUUUUAUACGGGAAUAACGCGCCUUACGUGUAGGGCUUUGCAUGUACCGUAUGAAUAAGGACCGGCUAAUUCCGUGCCAGCAGCCGCGGUAAUACGGAAGGUCCGGGCGUUAUCCGGAUUUAUUGGGUUUAAAGGGAUCGUAGGCCGCAUGUCAAGCGUGCUGUGAAAUGUCCGGGCUCAACCCGGGCCUUGCAGUGCGAACUGGGGUGCUUGAGUCCGCGGAAAGCAGGCGGAAUUCGUCGUGUAGCGGUGAAAUGCUUAGAUAUGACGAAGAACCCCGAUUGCGAAGGCAGCUUGCUGCAGCGGAACUGACGCUGAUGCUCGAAAGCGCGGGUAUCGAACAGGAUUAGAUACCCCAGUAGUC